GGAGAAGAAAGGAAGAAAAAGGAGAAGGAAAAGGGAGAAGAAAAGAAGAAAAAGGGAAGGAGAAGAAAAGAAGAAAAAUGAGAAGAAAAGAAGAAAAAGGAGAAGAAAGGAAGAAAAAGGAGAAGAAAGGAAGAAAAAGGGAAGAAAGGAAGAAAAAGGAGAAGAAAGGAAAAAAGGAGAAGAAAGGAAGAAAAAGGAGAAGAAAAGAAGAAAAA
Molecule: long non-coding RNA, 215 nt
Filed under: Hordeum vulgare
Lineage: Eukaryota; Viridiplantae; Streptophyta; Magnoliopsida; Poales; Poaceae
Description: long non-coding RNA (HVUL_LNC005859)
Source: RNAcentral